This 253-nucleotide ribosomal RNA is filed under the name uncultured bacterium. RNAcentral's name for it is "partial 16S ribosomal RNA". It matches the Rfam family "Bacterial small subunit ribosomal RNA", at positions 524 to 776 of the family's 1533-position model. The record is from RNAcentral.
UACAGAGGGUGCAAGCGUUAAUCGGAAUUACUGGGCGUAAAGGGCGCGUAGGUGGAGAUGUAAGUUAGAUGUGAAACCCCUGGGCUUAACCUAGGGCUUGCAUGUGAGACUGCAUAUCUAGAGUGUUGUAGAGGUAAGUGGAAUUUCCGGUGUAGCGGUGAAAUGCGUAGAUAUCGGGAAGAACACCAGUGGCGAAGGCGACUUACUGGACAGAUACUGACACUGAGGCGCGAAAGCGUGGGAAGCAAACAGG